CAAAGGACUACAAAUCCUUGAUCAUCACAUAUCUUAUUUGAUUCUUAUUUUCUUCACAAGAAAAAAAAAAUGUAUUAUCUGAAAACUUUUCCCCAGUUUCUCAUUGAAAAAAUCAUGGCAUGAAACAAUUUACACAAUUUCAUUUCAAUAAGACCCCAAAAAAACGCAAAAGAGGGGUGCACUAAGUUAAAGGCCACAUUCUUCAAUGUUUAGCUAUUGACGUA
RNAcentral lists this long non-coding RNA (224 nucleotides) under Mytilus galloprovincialis (Mediterranean mussel). Lineage: Eukaryota; Metazoa; Mollusca; Bivalvia; Mytilida; Mytilidae. The record is from RNAcentral.